This 253-nucleotide ribosomal RNA is filed under the name uncultured bacterium. RNAcentral's name for it is "partial 16S ribosomal RNA". It matches the Rfam family "Bacterial small subunit ribosomal RNA", at positions 524 to 776 of the family's 1533-position model. The record is from RNAcentral.
UACAGAGGGGGCAAGCGUUGUUCGGAAUUACUGGGCGUAAAGGGCGCGUAGGCGGCCUGCUAAGUCGAACGUGAAAUCCCCGAGCUCAACUCGGGAACUGCGUCCGAUACUGGUUGGCUUGAAUCCGGGAGAGGGAUGCGGAAUUCCAGGUGUAGCGGUGAAAUGCGUAGAUAUCUGGAGGAACACCGGUGGCGAAGGCGGCAUCCUGGACCGGCAUUGACGCUGAGGCGCGAAAGCCAGGGGAGCAAACGGG